Molecule: ribosomal RNA, 301 nt
Filed under: uncultured bacterium
Lineage: Bacteria
Description: partial 16S ribosomal RNA
Rfam family: Bacterial small subunit ribosomal RNA
Source: RNAcentral
CAGUCGCCGCGGUAAUACAGAGGGUGCGAGCGUUAAUCGUAUUUACUGGGCGUAAAGCGUGCGUAGGCGGCUUCUUAAGUCGGAUGUGAAAUCCCUGAGCUUAACUUAGGAAUUGCAUUCGAUACUGGGAAGCUAGAGUAUGGGAGAGGAUGGUAGAAUUCCAGGUGUAGCGGUGAAAUGCGUAGAGAUCUGGAGGAAUACCGAUGGCGAAGGCAGCCAUCUGGCCUAAUACUGACGCUGAGGUACGAAAGCAUGGGGAGCAAACAGGAUUAGAUACCCCCGUAGUCCCUGUCUCUUAUAC